GCUAAUGCAUCACUUAAGCUCUGAAAAGGAUUGACUUCCCCAAGGAGAAAUCAAAUUCAUAGUGUCUCAAGGAAUCAAAUGGCUUGAGUUUCAAGGACAAGUAAAGUGCAUGGGAGUGACCAUUCUGCUGGCUCAGAGCAUCCCUCAAGUUCCACCCGGCUGGAAAAAAUUCUACCAUUGCUGGGGAAAUGUCACUGUUAGAGAAUAGAAAAUUAUUAUUCCAAAGAGUACUGAAGACUGACUGAAUGAGGUCUGGAACAUUAUUGAAAUGACACUUAUGGAUCGAAACAUGUGAAGCUUUCAUCAAAUGUCUCAUAGUUUCAAGGACGGCUGGAUUUAAUCAUUUCCAGGGAUACAUCUAAAGGAAUUCCCGUA
Balaenoptera musculus (blue whale) is the source of this 375-nucleotide long non-coding RNA. RefSeq lists it as uncharacterized. The record is from RefSeq and is a predicted model, not a curated record. NCBI's taxonomy places the organism in Eukaryota, Metazoa, Chordata, Mammalia, Artiodactyla, Balaenopteridae. The transcript is spliced from 4 exons.